AGCUCUGCGCAGCGGCAUUACCAUAGCCAAUGAGGUUUAUCCAAGGCGCGAUUAUUGCUAAUUGAAAACUGGUGUUUGGUUUUUGCAGCAUGAAUGUGCUAAUUCUUUUUUUUUUUUAAU
RNAcentral lists this small nuclear RNA (120 nucleotides) under Octodon degus (degu). RNAcentral describes it as "U4 spliceosomal RNA (ENSODEG00000025683.1)". It matches the Rfam family "U4 spliceosomal RNA". From Rfam's summary of the family: U4 small nuclear RNA (U4 snRNA) is a component of the major U2-dependent spliceosome. The structure of U4 snRNA from yeast and human has been reported. Lineage: Eukaryota; Metazoa; Chordata; Mammalia; Rodentia; Octodontidae. The record is from Rfam by way of RNAcentral.